Molecule: ribosomal RNA, 2902 nt
Filed under: Escherichia coli UMEA 3694-1
Lineage: Bacteria; Pseudomonadati; Pseudomonadota; Gammaproteobacteria; Enterobacterales; Enterobacteriaceae
Description: bacterial LSU rRNA
Rfam family: Bacterial large subunit ribosomal RNA
Source: RNAcentral
UUAAGCGAUUAAGCGUACACGGUGGAUGCCCUGGCAGUCAGAGGCGAUGAAGGACGUGCUAAUCUGCGAUAAGCGUCGGUGAGGUGAUAUGAACCGUUAUAACCGGCGAUUUCCGAAUGGGGAAACCCAGUGUGUUUCGACACACUAUCAUUAACUGAAUCCAUAGGUUAAUGAGGCGAACCGGGGGAACUGAAACAUCUAAGUACCCCGAGGAAAAGAAAUCAACCGAGAUUCCCCCAGUAGCGGCGAGCGAACGGGGAGGAGCCCAGAGCCUGAAUCAGUGUGUGUGUUAGUGGAAGCGUCUGGAAAGGCGUGCGAUACAGGGUGACAGCCCCGUACACAAAAAUGCACAUAUUGUGAGCUCGAUGAGUAGGGCGGGACACGUGGUAUCCUGUCUGAAUAUGGGGGGACCAUCCUCCAAGGCUAAAUACUCCUGACUGACCGAUAGUGAACCAGUACCGUGAGGGAAAGGCGAAAAGAACCCCGGCGAGGGGAGUGAAAAAGAACCUGAAACCGUGUACGUACAAGCAGUGGGAGCCUCUUAAUGGGGUGACUGCGUACCUUUUGUAUAAUGGGUCAGCGACUUAUAUUCUGUAGCAAGGUUAACCGAAUAGGGGAGCCGAAGGGAAACCGAGUCUUAACUGGGCGUUAAGUUGCAGGGUAUAGACCCGAAACCCGGUGAUCUAGCCAUGGGCAGGUUGAAGGUUGGGUAACACUAACUGGAGGACCGAACCGACUAAUGUUGAAAAAUUAGCGGAUGACUUGUGGCUGGGGGUGAAAGGCCAAUCAAACCGGGAGAUAGCUGGUUCUCCCCGAAAGCUAUUUAGGUAGCGCCUCGUGAAUUCAUCUCCGGGGGUAGAGCACUGUUUCGGCAAGGGGGUCAUCCCGACUUACCAACCCGAUGCAAACUGCGAAUACCGGAGAAUGUUAUCACGGGAGACACACGGCGGGUGCUAACGUCCGUCGUGAAGAGGGAAACAACCCAGACCGCCAGCUAAGGUCCCAAAGUCAUGGUUAAGUGGGAAACGAUGUGGGAAGGCCCAGACAGCCAGGAUGUUGGCUUAGAAGCAGCCAUCAUUUAAAGAAAGCGUAAUAGCUCACUGGUCGAGUCGGCCUGCGCGGAAGAUGUAACGGGGCUAAACCAUGCACCGAAGCUGCGGCAGCGACACUAUGUGUUGUUGGGUAGGGGAGCGUUCUGUAAGCCUGUGAAGGUGGCCUGUGAGGGUUGCUGGAGGUAUCAGAAGUGCGAAUGCUGACAUAAGUAACGAUAAAGCGGGUGAAAAGCCCGCUCGCCGGAAGACCAAGGGUUCCUGUCCAACGUUAAUCGGGGCAGGGUGAGUCGACCCCUAAGGCGAGGCCGAAAGGCGUAGUCGAUGGGAAACAGGUUAAUAUUCCUGUACUUGGUGUUACUGCGAAGGGGGGACGGAGAAGGCUAUGUUGGCCGGGCGACGGUUGUCCCGGUUUAAGCGUGUAGGCUGGUUUUCCAGGCAAAUCCGGAAAACCAAGGCUGAGGCGUGAUGACGAGGCACUACGGUGCUGAAGCGACAAAUGCCCUGCUUCCAGGAAAAGCCUCUAAGCAUCAGGUAACAUCAAAUCGUACCCCAAACCGACACAGGUGGUCAGGUAGAGAAUACCAAGGCGCUUGAGAGAACUCGGGUGAAGGAACUAGGCAAAAUGGUGCCGUAACUUCGGGAGAAGGCACGCUGAUAUGUAGGUGAAGCGACUUGCUCGUGGAGCUGAAAUCAGUCGAAGAUACCAGCUGGCUGCAACUGUUUAUUAAAAACACAGCACUGUGCAAACACGAAAGUGGACGUAUACGGUGUGACGCCUGCCCGGUGCCGGAAGGUUAAUUGAUGGGGUUAGCGGUAACGCGAAGCUCUUGAUCGAAGCCCCGGUAAACGGCGGCCGUAACUAUAACGGUCCUAAGGUAGCGAAAUUCCUUGUCGGGUAAGUUCCGACCUGCACGAAUGGCGUAAUGAUGGCCAGGCUGUCUCCACCCGAGACUCAGUGAAAUUGAACUCGCUGUGAAGAUGCAGUGUACCCGCGGCAAGACGGAAAGACCCCGUGAACCUUUACUAUAGCUUGACACUGAACAUUGAGCCUUGAUGUGUAGGAUAGGUGGGAGGCUUUGAAGUGUGGACGCCAGUCUGCAUGGAGCCGACCUUGAAAUACCACCCUUUAAUGUUUGAUGUUCUAACGUUGGCCCGUAAUCCGGGUUGCGGACAGUGUCUGGUGGGUAGUUUGACUGGGGCGGUCUCCUCCUAAAGAGUAACGGAGGAGCACGAAGGUUGGCUAAUCCUGGUCGGACAUCAGGAGGUUAGUGCAAUGGCAUAAGCCAGCUUGACUGCGAGCGUGACGGCGCGAGCAGGUGCGAAAGCAGGUCAUAGUGAUCCGGUGGUUCUGAAUGGAAGGGCCAUCGCUCAACGGAUAAAAGGUACUCCGGGGAUAACAGGCUGAUACCGCCCAAGAGUUCAUAUCGACGGCGGUGUUUGGCACCUCGAUGUCGGCUCAUCACAUCCUGGGGCUGAAGUAGGUCCCAAGGGUAUGGCUGUUCGCCAUUUAAAGUGGUACGCGAGCUGGGUUUAGAACGUCGUGAGACAGUUCGGUCCCUAUCUGCCGUGGGCGCUGGAGAACUGAGGGGGGCUGCUCCUAGUACGAGAGGACCGGAGUGGACGCAUCACUGGUGUUCGGGUUGUCAUGCCAAUGGCACUGCCCGGUAGCUAAAUGCGGAAGAGAUAAGUGCUGAAAGCAUCUAAGCACGAAACUUGCCCCGAGAUGAGUUCUCCCUGACUCCUUGAGAGUCCUGAAGGAACGUUGAAGACGACGACGUUGAUAGGCCGGGUGUGUAAGCGCAGCGAUGCGUUGAGCUAACCGGUACUAAUGAACCGUGAGGCUUAACCUU